RNAcentral lists this ribosomal RNA (427 nucleotides) under uncultured bacterium. RNAcentral describes it as "bacterial SSU rRNA". It matches the Rfam family "Bacterial small subunit ribosomal RNA", at positions 355 to 774 of the family's 1533-position model. The record is from RNAcentral.
UGGGGAAUUUUGGACAAUGGGCGCAAGCCUGAUCCAGCAAUGCCGCGUGCAGGAUGAAGGCCUUCGGGUUGUAAACUGCUUUUGUACGGAACGAAACGGCUCUGGUUAAUACCUGGGGCUAAUGACGGUACCGUAAGAAUAAGCGCCGGCUAACUACGUGCCAGCAGCCGCGGUAAUACGUAGGGUGCGAGCGUUAAUCGGAAUUACUGGGCGUAAAGCGUGCGCAGGCGGUGAUGUAAGACAGAUGUGAAAUCCCCGGGCUCAACCUGGGACCUGCAUUUGGGACUGCAUCGCUGGAGUGCGGCAGAGGGGGAUGGAAUUCCGCGUGUAGCAGUGAAAUGCGUAGAUAUGCGGAGGAACACCGAUGGCGAAGGCAAUCCCCUGGGCCUGCACUGACGCUCAUGCACGAAAGCGUGGGGAGCAAACA